AUUAGGAUUAGAGAAGCAGCAGAACAGAGAAACACGUGAAAGGUGAAGGAGAGGAGAAAAGGUGGAGAAAACCUAGAAUUUGAUCUUCAAGAAGAAAAGGGUCAAGGAGGCUUUGUACCGGUGUCAUAGAAGGUAAGGGUUUGAAUUUACCUUGUAUAAUUGUAGAAUAACAGAGGUUGAGUUUAACAUGAAGGAACCCCCAUCUUCUUUGAAAAUUCAGAACUGAGAGACUGUGUUGAGUGUUAACAUGUGGUGAGCAAAAUUGAUUUUGAGCGAAAUUGAGGUUCCGGGGAAAAUUGGGUUCUGUUCUGUUUUGCCCGCAGAUACCCUAUUAGUCUGUGUUGUAGAGAGCAUAACUCUCUCUACAGAAUUCCAAAUUGAGUGAAACCAAUUUUGUAUGAAAGCUAACUCAUAGGGCUAUGUUGGGUAAUAUUUUCAUAAUUUUGCGAUUUCUGGUUCAAUACCAGAAUCAUUUGCAAGUUCAUUCUGUUUUUGCCCGCAGACACCCUAGCAGCCUGUGUUGUAGAGAGCAUAACUCUCUCUAAAGAAUUCCGAAUUGAGUGAAACUAAUUUUUUAUGAAAGCUAACUCAUAGGGUUAUAUUGGGUAAUAUUUUCAUAAUUUUUGGAUUGCUGGUUCAAUACCAGAAUUAUCUGCAAGUUCACUCUGUUUUGCUCGCAACCCUAACAACCUGUGCUGUAGAGAGCAUAACUCUCUCUACAGAAUUCCAAAUUGGGUGAAACAAAUUUUGUAUGAAAGCUAAAGUAUAAGGCUAUGUUUGGUAAAAUUUUCAUAAUUUUUGGAGUGCACGUUUAGUACCGGAAUUAUCUGCAAGUUUGCUAUGUUUCUGCUUAUUUCUGUGAUUGAUUCUGGAACUGGUUCUGGUAAUUGAUAUGAGACAUUUGAUGACUUUGUGUUGCUAGUUUAUCGGUGGAAUAGUGAAUGAUUUGAUAAUGAUAUUGAAGUGUUAUUUUGUGCAAUUUUGGUGUGAUUUCCGUUAUGGAAUUUGGUGAGAAAAUAUGUUAUAUAUUUGGGGCUGGAGUGGUCUCAAAUUGCAUGUUUUAAUUUAUGAGUUUUUGCACGAAAUACACUUCAUUUAGUCAAGAGGCAAAAUGUCGGUUUUCAUCGGAAAACUGAGGUUUGUCCCAGAACUGGCGUGGUUCUGGAAGUCUGGCGUUGACUUCAUUGGUGGUUAACUGUCUGGAGUGGACGCGGUGAUACCGCUAAGGUUAACAAUUGGUACCACAUGCAUACAUUAGAGUCUCACACACUAAGUUUCACGUUUUCAGUGGUUUUAUGUGUUUGGUGAUUUGUUGGUGAAUUGUUUUGCUGUUGUGGUAAAGUCGAAUUAUUAUUCUUCUUUAAGCUUAUAAUUUUCCGAAACAUUAAUAAGAAUUGUGAAACUGUCUUGAGAGAAAAUAUUAUAAUCACUCAGAUUUUAAAGACAAUGUGAAGAGUUUAUAAAGCAGGAUCUGAAUUGUUUACUUGCUCUUUGUUAUGCUAUAUUUUAUACAAUGUAAGUUCUUACCCUUCUGUUGGAAUGAUGUUCUAUGCGACAUCGCUCAGGUACUGGAGGUAGAGAUGUGGCUCAUGAGGAGUAGCUUCGGAGAGUCUUAGCUUAUGUUAUUAUUAUUAUUAUUAUUAUUAUUAUUAUUAUUAUUAUUAUUAUUAUUAUUAUAAAAUAAGUGUCUUGCUCUGUAAUGUAACACUGGGUAGAUAUUUUACGUUACUUUUACACUUUUGUUGAGA
RNAcentral lists this long non-coding RNA (1748 nucleotides) under Lotus japonicus. RNAcentral describes it as "long non-coding RNA (LJAP_LNC000754)". The record is from RNAcentral. Lineage: Eukaryota; Viridiplantae; Streptophyta; Magnoliopsida; Fabales; Fabaceae.